AUAUUCCUUGUUCCAAAAAAAUUAGAAAAUGUGUCCAUUUUCCUUUUCCCCAUAUCCCACGGAUCUUUCAUUAUCUCUUUACAGAAAAGCAACAAAACAUUGACGACCCUUCUUCGUCUUUCUCCUUCUCCUCUCCUUCAUCACCCCCGAAACCGCGACCCCUAGCUGCACCACGGUUGUUGAAUUCCUGCUACCCCUGGGAAGAUUUUCUUUUCUUUUUUUAACAUCCUCAACCCGUGAAUCAACCGAAUCAGCAAAAGUCAGAUAUCAAGUAGAUGCAACGAUCUAUUUGUUGCUUCAAAUCCGCCAUUAAUGUUGUGAAAAUCAUCAGAGUACGGAGAAAGGAGAAGAUUCGUUCAAUUUUGAAUUCAAAAUUUAAAUCUCCACUCCCCCCCCCCCCCCCCCCCCCGCCAUUUUCUUCCCACAUUUUGUUAAUUUUGGGUUUCAAAUUCGAACUUUAAAGUCCGGAUUGCCUAUAUAUGGGUGUUCUCCAUCCCAUAGAACAAGUUGCAAAUUCGAAAUAACAAGUUGACAGUUGAAAAAUUAGGGAAAAACCAGUUAACACUCUCAAAAAUUAUCUUCUAACGUUUGGGAAAACCCACAAGAAAAGUCACGAAGAUUUUUCCUCUUCUUGAUUUUGGUUUAAGUUAGAGUUUCUGGAGUUCGAGUUUUAUUGUCGGAAAACCCUUAACGUUGAAGCUCCGAUUAGCUGCCUCAAAAAAGCAAUAGAUCACAUAACUCGGGGUCUAAAUCGUUAGGAUCCGAUUCGUUGAAUAGAAACUUAUAAUAUCGAUCUUUUUUCCUCCUUGAUUAUUUUAUUAUUUGUACAUGUUUUACUAACCCUUAUAUGUACUUGAUUAUGAAUUUUUAUGUGAAUAAUUAAAUUUGAAUUAGCUUUA
This is a long non-coding RNA of Capsicum annuum, 899 nucleotides long. RefSeq lists it as uncharacterized. The record is from RefSeq and is a predicted model, not a curated record. The transcript is spliced from 2 exons. Lineage: Eukaryota; Viridiplantae; Streptophyta; Magnoliopsida; Solanales; Solanaceae.